RNAcentral lists this ribosomal RNA (253 nucleotides) under uncultured bacterium. RNAcentral describes it as "partial 16S ribosomal RNA". It matches the Rfam family "Bacterial small subunit ribosomal RNA", at positions 524 to 776 of the family's 1533-position model. The record is from RNAcentral.
UACGUAGGGGGCAAGCGUUGUCCGGAUUUAUUGGGCGUAAAGAGCGUGUAGGCGGCUUGGUAGGUCCGCUGUGAAAACUCGAGGCUCAACCUCGAGAUGUCGGCGGAAACCACUUGGCUAGAGUCCGGAAGAGGAGAGUGGAAUUCCUGGUGUAGCGGUGAAGUGCGCAGAUAUCAGGAAGAACACCUAUGGCGAAGGCAGCUCUCUGGGACGGUACUGACGCUGAGACGCGAAAGCGUGGGGAGCGAACAGG